Molecule: unclassified non-coding RNA, 240 nt
Organism: Calidris pygmaea (Spoon-billed sandpiper)
Lineage: Eukaryota; Metazoa; Chordata; Aves; Charadriiformes; Scolopacidae
Source: Ensembl
GUGCAUGCUGGGCUAUAAUUUAUGAAACGGAGCCCAGGAAACAACCAAUCAUUUAGCUCCUCCUAACAAGUCCAACUGGCUAUGAAAAGCUGGAAGUGCUGCUCAGAACAAUGAAGAGGAGCUAUCCCACAUAUUAAUCUGCUUAUCUGCUAUUGCUUUCUGUGUAGAGAGAGGGAAGCAUGUAACAAGGAGAGGAGAAAAAAAAAAAAAGAAAAGAAAGAAAAAUUACAGUUUCACUAC